UCUGUUUCACGGAUGGCUUCUCAAUGAUCUGUUUGCACAUUCUUUUCCUGCUUGGUAAUUAGCACCAGCUGUCUCAACUUAAAAGGAAGGAAUCCCUUUGAAAUCCUCGCUAUCCUCCGUGAAAUGUGCUACUGAAACGUGCUAAUUAGUAACUGGACUUAGGACAACACAGACAUGUGUUUCCUGCCGGUCAAGAACCUACCCUGGCAUUCCUGCUGCCAUCACAGCAGUGAUUAUUGACAACCCAGAGGCUGCUGCAGCAAUAAUCUUCACCCCAACUCUUCUCAUAUUCUUGCCUUACUGGCUCACCAUUUAAAGUCUUGGGGUGGAAGACUCAGCUGCUCCUCAGACCCAGGAUCUUCAUGGCUUUUUCCAGAGGCCGGGAGUUCCCACUCAUCCUGCUUUUCAUCUUCCACAUGAUUCACGUUGUGUGAAGCUUUAACUCUGGGUCCCCAGGAGAACAUUUUAUUCUGCAGCCAUUUGU
Eubalaena glacialis (North Atlantic right whale) is the source of this 484-nucleotide long non-coding RNA. RefSeq lists it as uncharacterized. NCBI's taxonomy places the organism in Eukaryota, Metazoa, Chordata, Mammalia, Artiodactyla, Balaenidae. The transcript has 3 exons. The record is from RefSeq and is a predicted model, not a curated record.